RNAcentral lists this long non-coding RNA (294 nucleotides) under Capsicum annuum. RNAcentral's name for it is "long non-coding RNA (CANN_LNC021433)". The record is from RNAcentral. Lineage: Eukaryota; Viridiplantae; Streptophyta; Magnoliopsida; Solanales; Solanaceae.
GCUGCUAAGUUCUUAUUCUCUGCUUCUUUUAUUGUCUUCAGCUCUGCAUCUUUAGGAUUCUCAACCGCUGCUAAGUUCUUAUCCGCUGCUGCUUUUAUCAUCUUCAGCUCUGUAUCUUUAGGACUCGCAACCGCUGCUAAGUUCUUAUCGUCUGCUUCUUUUACUGUCUUCAGCUCUGCAUCUUUAGGACUCGCAACCGCUGCUAAGUUCUUAUCCUCGGCUUCUUUUAUUGUCUUCAGGAGGUCUGCUUUUUUCUGCUGAAGAGCUUCCAGUUUGGCAUUGAUCUUAUCCAAC